Non-coding RNA from Phrynosoma platyrhinos (Desert horned lizard), 72 nucleotides. Lineage: Eukaryota; Metazoa; Chordata; Lepidosauria; Squamata; Phrynosomatidae. The record is from the annotation of a GenBank genome assembly.
GCCAGUGUGGUGUAGUGGUGUGAACACUAGAUUACAACUCUGGAGACCAAGGUUCAGAUCUUUGCUCAGCCA